CCUGCAGCACAGGGAGGGUGUGGGGGGGGGCCGGGCUGCACCCCAGGACCCCGAGUGCCUGGGAGGACACGCUCCUUCCCCCUAAGAUGUCUGCAUCGGACUUUCAAGGUGCAGGGACCUGGGCAGCCCCUCCCCGGGGGACUAGCCACCAGCCAUGGCCCCUGCUGCCUGGGCUUUUAGGGAGAGGUCCCAGGGCACAGACCAGAGGCCGACAGAUACGCUCACUCAGGGGCGAUGCCUCAGGGUCUGGCCCCACUGUAGGGACCACCCGUCACUUCACUGUGGGUGGGGGGGUGCUCCGCUGCCUGUUCUCUCAGGGCCAUUGGCUGGGAGGGGUCACUGUGGCUCCCUGCUAGGCCUGUACCCCCCAGGCUGCAGCCCUGGCUUCUAGAAGCAGUCUGGGGGUUCCUCUCCACGGUGGGCCCUAGGCAGCCACCUUCCCAAGCGCUUACACCCCCAGGGGUGAUGGCUAGCAGACCCCAGGCAGGCUCCAAGAGCCAGGCUCUUAAUCCCGGUGCAGAGAUGUGACAGGCGGAGGGACCGUGCAUGGGAUGUGAAGGGGCUCUGCGCAGGGAGGGGAGGCCAGGAGGGGCAGAAUUGGGGGUCCACCAUCCACCCCCAGGAGUGCCGGGACACUGUGAGCACCCUCUGCUCUAAUGAGAGCAGCCCUGCCUGCCUGAGACCUAAUCACUCAUCAACCAAGGUGGGCUCAACUCUGCAUCACUCAGCUGCAAGCCAGCCCAGUGCAGACACAUUUAAUAACUGAUGGAGUUUGGCUCUUGUCCCCCAGGCUAGAGUGCAGGGGCGUAAUCUCGGCUCA
This is a long non-coding RNA of Gorilla gorilla gorilla (western lowland gorilla), 820 nucleotides long. RefSeq lists it as uncharacterized. NCBI's taxonomy places the organism in Eukaryota, Metazoa, Chordata, Mammalia, Primates, Hominidae. The record is from RefSeq and is a predicted model, not a curated record. The transcript is spliced from 2 exons.